RNAcentral lists this ribosomal RNA (497 nucleotides) under uncultured bacterium. RNAcentral's name for it is "partial 16S ribosomal RNA". It matches the Rfam family "Bacterial small subunit ribosomal RNA", at positions 28 to 507 of the family's 1533-position model. The record is from RNAcentral.
GAUGAACGCUGGCGGCGUGCCUAAUACAUGCAAGUCGAGCGAACGGACGAGAAGCUUGCUUCUCUGAUGUUAGCGGCGGACGGGUGAGUAACACGUGGAUAACCUACCUAUAAGACUGGGAUAACUUCGGGAAACCGGAGCUAAUACCGGAUAAUAUUUUGAACCGCAUGGUUCAAAAGUGAAAGACGGUCUUGCUGUCACUUAUAGAUGGAUCCGCGCUGCAUGAGCUAGUUGGUAGGGUAACGGCUUACCAAGGCAACGAUGCAUAGCCGACCUGAGAGGGUGAUCGGCCACACUGGAACUGAGACACGGUCCAGACUCCUACGGGAGGCAGCAGUAGGCAAUCUUCCGCAAUGGGCGAAAGCCUGACGGAGCAACGCCGCGUGAGUGAUGAAGGUCUUCGGAUCGUAAAACUCUGUUAUUAGGGAAGAACAUAUGUGUAAGUAACUGUGCACAUCUUGACGGUACCUAAUCAGAAAGCCACGGCUAACUACGUG